UAGCUGAGGAAAAGGAAACCAACAGGGAUUGCCUCAGUAACGGCGAGUGAAGCGGCAAAAGCUCAAAUUUGAAAUCUAGCACCUUCGGUGUUCGAGUUGUAAUUUGAAGAUGGUAACCUUGGGUUUGGCUCUUGUCUAUGUUCCUUGGAACAGGACGUCAUAGAGGGUGAGAAUCCCGUCUGAUGAGAUGCCCAUUCCUAUGUAAGGUGCUAUCGAAGAGUCGAGUUGUUUGGGAAUGCAGCUCUAAGUGGGUGGUAAAUUCCAUCUAAAGCUAAAUAUUGGCGAGAGACCGAUAGCGAACAAGUACAGUGAUGGAAAGAUGAAAAGAACUUUGAAAAGAGAGUGAAAAAGUACGUGAAAUUGUUGAAAGGGAAGGGCAUUAGAUCAGACUUGGUGUUUUACGAUUAUCUUCUCUUCUUGAGUUGUGCACUCGUAUUUCACUGGGCCAGCAUCGAUUCGGAUGGCAAGAUAAUGGCAGUUGAAUGUGGCUUCACUUCGGUGGAGUGUUAUAGCUUCUGCUGAUAUUGCCUGUCUGGAUCGAGGGCUGCGUC
RNAcentral lists this ribosomal RNA (551 nucleotides) under Hansenula anomala. RNAcentral's name for it is "LSU rRNA". It matches the Rfam family "Eukaryotic large subunit ribosomal RNA", at positions 48 to 601 of the family's 3401-position model. Lineage: Eukaryota; Fungi; Ascomycota; Saccharomycetes; Phaffomycetales; Wickerhamomycetaceae. The record is from RNAcentral.